This is a long non-coding RNA of Piliocolobus tephrosceles (Ugandan red Colobus), 2589 nucleotides long. The record is from Ensembl. NCBI's taxonomy places the organism in Eukaryota, Metazoa, Chordata, Mammalia, Primates, Cercopithecidae.
UGAUCUUAAAGGGACCUAUGCUAGUUUUGUAAAUUCUAGCACAAAAGGAUUUUCAUAUUUUAACACGUCACCUGUGAACGAAAAAAAAGCUGAACAAAAUGAUGAGCAUAUUGGUGCAGAUAGUAAUACGGAGAUAAAUAUUUUAAAAAGAAUCAGCGAGGAUUGUAACACAAUGGUUGAUAGUAUGAAUAUAAUAGAAAAAAAAAAAGUACUAUUUGAUUCUUAUAAAAAAUACUAUUUUAUAGAAAUGACCAAAUACCAUAAAAGUAGAGAAAAUUGUACCAACAAUUUUAUAAAUUUUCUUGAAAGGCUAAUUGAGCAAAUGUUAAAAGAGUUAAAAAACGGAAGUGAUAAUAUAAAUAAUUUAACCAAACUUUUUAAAGAAAUUACAAAAAAUGAUGCAAUUUAUUAUAAAACAUCACUACCAGGAACUGGUAAAAUAAAUAACCUAACUCAUAAUUUUGUACAUUUAAACAAUGAUGAACAAACAAGUAGUCAUGUUUGUGCUACUAAUACGAGUACACAUGAAAAUAAUGUUACCAAAUAUAGGAGUGAAAUUUUUGAAUCGAAAAACAACAAAACAAAAGUGAUUAGCAAUAAAGCAGUAACGUUUGAAAGAUUUUCAACUAAUAAUGAGAUUACUCAUGAAGAGAGUGCGAUGGACUAUAAAGAAACAAUAGAUAAUGAGCAUGAUCAAAGGCAAGAGGAGGAUCACAUGUCCGAAAUGAAUGAAGAUGCUACAACAUGUAACAACCUACUGCAUGAAACAAGCGUAAGAAACAGUGCUGAUUUCAUGAGUAGUAACAAUAGCAAUGAAAUGAACAUUGCAGAAUAUAUAAAUAAUACUACAUUUUUAAAAAACAAUAGUAUGAAUAAGAAUGUUAAUAAAAUACAUAACAUUGCAGAUAGCGUUUUGGACAUAAAUUCGAACAUGUGUAUUUUGAAUCAUAAUAUAAUACAAGAUUGGAUAGAAUAUGGUUACAUAAACUAUAAAAAGCUGAUGUAUACUAUGAAAGAAAAUAGCAAUUUUGUUGAUACUAAAAUAUAUCAAGAAAUGUUAAAUAUAUUAAAAGAAAGCUAUAUAAAAGAGCAAGAAAAUUUACUGGAAAAAAUAAAAAAAAAAAAAUGUGAUUUAUUUAAACAAUUCGAUGUUAGUAAAUUAUAUUGGAAGCAUUUUGAAAAUAGUUACUCGAACUCAGAACGAAUCAGAUCGGAUGGAAUAAAAGAUUCUAAAAAAAUAAAAUGCUCCUGGUUAUGCCAAAGAAAAUAUUUAAAAAUUGUUAAAGAUUUAUUAAAAAUACAAAAUGAAUAUUUAGACAUUGUCUACACUUGCGUUAAAAUUUUUUUUCAAUUAAUAGAAUGGAAAAAAAAUACCAUUAAAGACAUACUCUCAUCUUAUAUACAUUUAUAUAAAGGGUUCUUAAAUUUAUAUUUGAAUAAUAUAAAUAUAUUAUAUGAUUUUAUAUUACAAGAAAAAAAUAUAAAUCCAUCACAUUUUGAUAAUUUACAUAAUAUAUCUAUGAUUAAUGUGGAUGACAUAAUAAAAACUGUUACUCCCUUUUCUUAUAAUGAGUAUAAUACAAACAUACCUAACUUAAACAACUCGUUAAACAUUAUUAACAAUUUUGUUAUAUUUUAUAAUAACGAAAUAAAUAUAAAAUCGAUUUUAUGCUUAUUUUGUGCCCAUAUUAAAGGACAUUUUACGAGUGUAGGUUUUUUUAAUAAAUACAUGGAAGGGAUAUUUGUNNNNNNNNNNUUUUUUAAUAAAUACAUGGAAGGGAUAUUUGUUAUAACAUGGGAUAAGUUUGUUCAUUUUUUUACUGAUGCUGAGGAUGUAACGCCACAAUGGUCUUAUUAUAUGGAAGAUAUAGAAUUUAAAAUUUUAAAAAAUAAAAAUGAUAGUACUAAAAAAAGUGGCAAACAAAAUGAACCCCACAAUGAUUGCCCAGAUGGUGAACCAAGUGGGGCACAAAAUGGUAAUCCUUGCGUUAGCCCAAAUAGUACACAUCAGGAAAAUGAGAAUACAAUAGUAUCUUUUACUGUUCUCAAUGAUGAAAAAGCAAACAUAGAAAAAGAGGCUGUUAAAAAUGGUACUACUAGUGAGGAACCAACUGAUGAUCAUCAGUCUGACAUUAACAAACAAACUAAUAUGAACAAUGAUUAUAAAAAAGACAACGAUAAAAUAAAUAAAUUUCAAAAUAAAAAAGAGGAGUUAUCAGAAUGUACAGAUAAACAACAAAAGAAAGACGAAAAUAACACAAAGAGUAAAAAAGAAAAUAAUCCUGAUUGUGCUCAAGUUUGUCAGUUGAAUAAACAAAGUAAUGAUACGAUAGAAAUACAGAUGAAAGAAAAGAAAAAAACAUUAUUAAUUAGUGGUUGGUCAUUUACGUUCAAAUGUGAUAAUACGUUCUUAACAAAUGUAUGCUAUGAGUUAUUAAAUAAUCAUUUAUAUUCAUCUUAUUUUGUUGACGAAAAUUCGUUUGUUAAUUUUAGUAACAUUAUAUCAAAUGGUCAGGUGAGAAAUGACUUAGAGUGUACUAAGCAAAUAGCUAACACGUACGAUAAAACAUUAGGCGCAAACGUAAACAC